GUGCACCAGGCGAGAAACUUCCACAAUGGGGAAACCCUGAUGGAGCGACGCCGCGUGCGGGAUGAAGGCCCUAUGGGUUGUAAACCGCUGUUCAGUGGAAAGAACAUCCUCCGGCUGAAUAGGUCGGAGGCCUGACGUUACCACUGCAGAAAGGUCCCGGCCAACUCCGUGCCAGCAGCCGCGGUAAUACGGGGGGACGGGAG
Molecule: ribosomal RNA, 203 nt
Filed under: uncultured microorganism
Description: partial 16S ribosomal RNA
Rfam family: Bacterial small subunit ribosomal RNA
Source: RNAcentral